RNAcentral lists this long non-coding RNA (3377 nucleotides) under Vigna radiata. RNAcentral's name for it is "long non-coding RNA (VRAD_LNC010714)". Lineage: Eukaryota; Viridiplantae; Streptophyta; Magnoliopsida; Fabales; Fabaceae. The record is from RNAcentral.
AAUAAUAGAGGUGAAAGUAUUAAUGUCAGGAGUGACAGGGCAUGCGGUCAAAGAAGGAACACAUGGUUCAGGGUUGUAAGGUGACAUCUUUUCAUCUACAAAAUUAGAAAUAAGAUAAAAUCAAAUGGCGGGGAACAUUUUUUUUUUCUCCAAACUAAAUUUAAUAUAGUAAAGGAGUUGGAAUUGAUUCUAGAAAGCAUGUAUGUGAUUCCAAAUCACAAUAAUAUAUAUCACUAUCGAUUUCAAUAGAUGAGAAAUCGAUUCCAAUUCUCUUGUUUAUUUCAUGCUCUUUGUAUUCUAUUCCAAUAACAAAUAAUCAAAUUUUUGAAAUUCAGGAAUCACAAAAUGCACAUUUAAAAAUUUGAAAUAAGCAGCAUUUUCAAAAUCACAUAUUACAUUACAAAUUUCUGUGUCCUUUUCCUUUUAUUUUAAUUCUUUUAACCAAUACAUUAAUGAGUUUUAAAUUUUUAAGUUAGUGAUAGUUUUCAAACAAAGUUAAAAGUUAAAAAAAGAACAAGAACAAAUAUUUCAUUUUUGUCAUGCAUGUUUAAAUUACCUUUCAAAUUGGAUAAGAAAAAUAUACCUCUAUCACACUACUCUCUACAAUGGAUUAAGUUGAAAUUUAACUAUACUACUUUUGUCAAUCUUGUUAGAACUAAAGUUCCAAAUUGAUGGAUUUUCUGAUACAAUUUUUUUAAUUAAUUUUUUUUUCUUUAUCUAAUUAUAAUAUUUUUAGGUUUAAUAUCUAUUUUGGUCACUCUUUUGGAAGGGUUUGUUCAAAGUGAUCUCUCAUUUUUUCAAAAGUUCACUGAAGUCCUACCUUUUGCAAAAACUGUUCAAAGUGGUCCUUUUUGCUAACGGCGUUAAGUUCAGUAACGACAGAGGAGGUGUUAGGUGUCUAAUGUCUGAUUAUGUGGCAUUGUUAUUAGUUUUAAUAAAUAUAUAUAAUUGUGACGUGUAAAUUAUAUUAAUUAGGAUAAAAUAAAGAAAGGAAUUAGGGGUAAUUAGGAUUAAAAGAUUAGGGUAAUGGGAAUUGGAUUGCGAUUGAGAUUGAGAUUUUCGUGGUCGAUUUAGGACUAUCUAAGCUUUCUGCUUCAGCCAGGUGCUCUGAUUCUGGAGCAUGCAAAACAUUUUCAACUUGUUGCAAUAUCUCGCCGAACUUGUUCUUCAUGUACUUCAUAAUGCUCCUCGGAAAUAUCCUCCUCAAUAUAAUCACUGACAAUAUCUACACCAAUAACAAUUUCUUCGGUGUCCCAUAUUGGUGCGUGAGUCUCACCAAUUUCAUUUUCAACGCCACCAAAUAUAGGAUACUGAUACACCAUGGAACCUUCACAGGAGAAGGGGCUUGAAUGUCAUCGUCAACCUUUGCUUUUAAAAUUUCCUCCUCACGCUUCAUCUCUUUCAGCUUUGCAGGAUCAAUUUCAGGCUCCUUGGCAGGGGUCACCUUUUUGGAAUUUUCAAAUUCAUAUUCAUCAGUUACUGCUGGGAUUUGAUAGAAAUAGGAAUUCCCCUCCUCUUUCUCCUGUAGAGACUAGAUAUCCUUGUCAAUGGCUUUCAGGGCAUCAUCGAUUUACUUAGCAAAUAUCUGUUGCAGGAAUGUUUCACAAUCCUCUUUCCCUCCACAAAACUUGGCGUUUGCUUCAGCUUCACGCCCUUCCCCACAGACGAUUGAGGGUUCUGAACCUCCCCCGGGGCGAAGUUGCUGAGGGCGGCACCGGUGUUUUUGAGGCAAGUGGGGUUCUCGAUCUUCGAUUGGUUGCAACCCAUCUUUGAAUCCUUCGAUUCCUCCUCUUCCUGCUCAGUCACCUCUUUGGAUCAUAUCUCCUUCAGCCAGAUUUAGAUUUAGAAUUAGGAUUCCAAAGAGAAAUUGCCACUUUUCCUGUAGAGAGAGAAACUGAAUUUUACAGAUGAAAGAAAAAGAACAAAGAUGCGUUGAAGUGAGAAAAUUAUCGCAAUUACUGGAUUGAAGGUGUUUGAUGAACCCUAAAUCGACCACGAAAAUCCCAAUCUCAAUCGCAAUCCAAUUCCAAUUACCCCAAUCUUCUAACCCUAAUUACCCCUAAUUCCUUUCUUUAUUUUACCCUAAUUAAUAUAAUUUACACGUCACAAUUAUAUAUAUUUAUUAAAACAAAUAACAAUGUCACAUAAUCAGACAUUAGACAUCUCUGUCGUUACUGAACUUAACGCCCUUACCAAAAAGGACCACUUUGAACAGUUUUUGCAAAAGGUAAGACUUAAGUGAACUUAAAAAAAAAAAGGGACCACUAUGAACAAACUCUCCUAAAAGAGGGACCAAAAUAGGUAUUAAACCAUAUUUUUAGUAAUAAAUAUUAUUUUAUAUUAAUUUUAUUAUUAAAGAUAUUUUGAUAAUUUUUAAUUUUUAUUAAUUAAAAUUUUAAAUAUAUUUAACUUUUUUUUAAUAAAUAUGUGAACAUUUUCAUAGCAUUCACGACUUUAGAUUCCCUCGUUAAUAGCUAAAGUGGUGUCACUUUCAACACUUUUAAAAAAGUUUAAGCAAUAAUUUUUUUUUAAUUUAUUGUUAAUAUUCUAAAAACUAGAAAGAAAACAAUUUUAGUCUGCAACUGUCUUCUAAUUUUCAGAACAUUAACGAUAAGAAAAUUGAAAUUUAAACUAGAACAUGUUCAUAGUACGUGUGAGAAGAAUAGAAAAGAGUGCGGUUUACCUUGACAAGUGUUGUCCUGUAAUGGAAUGAAAGCAGAGGAGUGAGGCAGGAUAUCUGGCUUUGUCCCAACAAAGUUAACACAGCAAGUGCUGAAUUUCGACUGAGAUAGAUUAGUGUAGAACCUCAUAGAUCUUACCCUGCAUUUUGUUUAUUUAAUUUCCAGGAGACAAUACAACCUUCUAUAAAGCUUGCAGCUUUAGUUAUCCAAUAUUUUUACUUUUGUUACGUUAUGCUACUACUACUCAUUGUUACAUCGGUAUGUCUUAGGUUGUUCUUCUUCAGUAGAGGCGUUUUAACCCCAAUCAUUCAAUUUCUGCACGCAUCACAAUUAAUUGCUCGAAAAAAAGAAGAAGAAAGGAUUAAGGAAUAAUAUAAUCAAAGAAAGAGGGAUGUAGAUAAUGUAAAUUUUUUUAAAAAAUAUGAUGACCCGACCCGAUCCGAUAAAGGGUACCAUUUCCUAAGCAAGGUCUCACCGCUUAGAUCUAAUAUAAACAGUGAAUUUUAUUUAUAACUUUUUUUCACAAUUCUAUGAUUUUUUCUUUACCUCCAAAUCCAAUGGCAACCGUACGAUCAAACUCGAUCACGGUCUUCUUCGUCGUUUUCAUUCUCUUCGCAACCGCACCAUUUCCUUCUCAAUCCAUAUCUUUCUCCUCUUAUUUCCGUUACCGAAACCUCUUCUCCCUUUCGCAUUCCC